Molecule: ribosomal RNA, 253 nt
Filed under: uncultured bacterium
Lineage: Bacteria
Description: partial 16S ribosomal RNA
Rfam family: Bacterial small subunit ribosomal RNA
Source: RNAcentral
UACGUAGGGGGCAAGCGUUGUCCGGAUUUAUUGGGCGUAAAGAGCGUGCAGGCGGCCAUGCAGGUCCGUUGUGAAAACUCGAGGCUCAACCUCGAGACGCCGAUGGAAACCGCAUGGCUAGAGUCCGGAAGAGGAGAGUGGAAUUCCUGGUGUAGCGGUGAAAUGCGCAGAUAUCGGGAGGAACACCGGUGGCGAAGGCGGUUCUCUGGGCCUUACCUGACGCUGAGGAGCGAAAGCGUGGGGAGCGAACAGG